AAGUCGUAACAAGGUUUCCGUAGGUGAACCUGCGGAAGGAUCAUUAAACAUGUGUCUAACACAUUAUCAACCCAACGUGAACUUUUGUAAUAGCCACGUCAAGUAUGGUAAAUCUAAGUGAAAGCCGCAGUGGGCUUAGGACGGAUCUUAGGUUUGUUGUGCCCAGCUUGAUUGUGGUCCAAUCCCUACUCACCCACUUUUAUUUGAGUAGUUAUGGGGAUAUCUCUGCGGGGAUAUCUCUGGUUUAACCUUUUUUAACCCCUAACCUGAUUCAUUUCGGGUCUUUUUAUAUUGUCUAAUCGAGUAGUCCUCUGUGUAGACUCAUUUCGGUGAGGGUAUGCAUGCUACUUUUGUUUACGAAACUUGUACAACUCUUAGCAAUGGAUAUCUUGGCUUCC
Molecule: unclassified non-coding RNA, 398 nt
Filed under: fungal sp.
Lineage: Eukaryota; Fungi
Description: partial internal transcribed spacer region
Rfam family: Eukaryotic small subunit ribosomal RNA (bases 1-46)
Source: RNAcentral